RNAcentral lists this long non-coding RNA (414 nucleotides) under Gossypium raimondii (Peruvian cotton). RNAcentral's name for it is "long non-coding RNA (GRAI_LNC006195)". The record is from RNAcentral. Lineage: Eukaryota; Viridiplantae; Streptophyta; Magnoliopsida; Malvales; Malvaceae.
CUGAUCCCAUGUCCAAAGAGAAGACUGAGUUUAUCAAUGUCAUUGUUUCUCUUAAAAAAGCUUGAUUAUUAUGUCAUCAGUGGUUAUCUAGCGUGGAACCCCCACCACCACCACAAAACCAAUCAAUAUUAUAUGGUACAAAUGAACUGUGCUACGGCACUGUUAUCCAAUCAAGAAUAAUUCCAUGCUUGCGAGUUGUUUGUAAAAUUUUACCACUCUUUAUUUUUAAUUUCUAAAUACAUCAAAAUAAUAAAAUUUACAAACCAAUACCUAAAAUUACAAAGUCAAAGUUGACAAAUUAUCAGUUUUCUUUCUGUUUUCAAUGUCAAAAGUUUUAUAAUAGCCACCACCUCAUAAAUUAAGGAAAAGAAAAGACAUUUUCAAUUCCAAUGUAUAUUCAUCCAAGGAAACAAC